This 584-nucleotide long non-coding RNA is filed under the name Gossypium raimondii (Peruvian cotton). RNAcentral describes it as "long non-coding RNA (GRAI_LNC001762)". The record is from RNAcentral. Lineage: Eukaryota; Viridiplantae; Streptophyta; Magnoliopsida; Malvales; Malvaceae.
UCAAAGAUAAGCUAUCAUACAUCCAAUAUGACAAGUUAUACAAAUAUCCUACACAAUACUGACUAUGUUAACUACUACAUGUGGCACUGCGUGAACCACUACUCAUAUUUGCCUCAACACAUUGUACUUAGAAUCAUUAAAUGAGUUGAUAUCAUGAGUAUAAAAUUAUUAAUUAUUAAUUAAAUGAUUAAACUAAAUAAAUUAUAUUAUCAACAUAAAAGCUCACUGGCUUACGAUUGACCAGAACCCAGCCUCAACAAGCCACAAUGCUUCAACAACCCAGAGAAAAACUUUGACAAUCACCAUGGAGCUAGAUGGUAACCGAUGCCGAAGGAAGAAUUUACAACCACAAACAGCUUCAGCCACCAGUUGAACAGACUGGUGCAACGCAAACCCGAGCACCGACAAGCUCUAACCAGCAGAGGAUCAUGGUGACAGCGGAACACAAGAAGUAAAGAUCCGGAAUAUCGAAGAGAAGUCAAAAAGACCUAGUUCUAGUCUCUAAACUUGACAAUUAUUCUCAUAUAAAAACUUAAAUUUUUGGAUUUUUAAGACAAUAUCAAAAACUAAUUUAAAUAAAAAAA